This 77-nucleotide transfer RNA is filed under the name Cylindrospermum sp. FACHB-282. Its description in RNAcentral is "tRNA-Gln". The record is from RNAcentral. Lineage: Bacteria; Bacillati; Cyanobacteriota; Cyanophyceae; Nostocales; Nostocaceae.
UGCCGGAUGGACGAUUGGGUAAGUCGCUGUCGCUCUGAACGAUGGAGAGGUUGGUUCAACCCCAACUCCGGCAUCCA